CAGAAGAACCCCUGGGCGUGACGCAAAUAUUGGCAGUCAAAGGCUCGCACUGCAGGCUGUUGGCACACAGCAUAAGCUCUGUUUUGGACAGCUAACAUUGACAAGAGGUGGAAGACACCUGAAAACCGGAGAAACCGGAUGCCCGACAAGGCCAGGCGAACCCUUCCCAGGAUUUGUAGAAUGUUGAGUGCUUCAUGUAGUAGUCCCUUUAUGAUUUAACAGGCUUCUCGAGUGAUUGUUGUAGACUAAGAUUUCACGGCGUCAUGUGCGAGAUUUUCAAGAUAUUCCAAAGAAUGACAUUGUGUAUUUAACCAGACCGCGAUUAACUUCAUGCUAACACACAGACGGGCUAACAAAACCAGCAUCACCAUUAUGGUCAUCAUAAACCUGCGACACAAAGGGGGUCACAACACAUGUUGACAAGAUUAUACAGCAAUGCUCGUAUGCACGUCGUCUUGAUCGUCUGCGAAAAGACGACGGGUAUCGUUGCAGGUUGGUCUUCUGUGUUUCAUCAUCAACUCUGCAUUUGUGGAUCGGUCGAAAUCACGUGAAUUGUUGCAAAUUCCUGGAAGGACCGCCAACGACCCUUUUUCCCAGCGUGAGAUUCUGAUCUGUGUCCAGUCGACCCGUGGACAAAGACGUGUCACAAAGUACCCGCCUGCCUGCCCCCUGCCGCGCCAAUUUGCGUCAGCUCCACUGCGAGAGCAGAAAACGAGUCCUUGUGUGCCCCCUGCGGACGCCCUACCCGUCUCCUAAACGGAUUAAAGAAGAUUAAAAAGUU
Molecule: long non-coding RNA, 781 nt
Organism: Hippocampus comes (tiger tail seahorse)
Lineage: Eukaryota; Metazoa; Chordata; Actinopteri; Syngnathiformes; Syngnathidae
Exons: 2
Source: RefSeq, a predicted model, not a curated record